UCGUCAUCGUCAUGGCGUAGGCAUCUGAGCUGGUUGGGCACGUUUCCUUCGCCCCUGUGGUUGGGCAUCUCUGCGAUGUAUGCAGGGGCAGGGCACAACAUGUCCCAACCCGGGACGAAGUCUUGACGAUGUCGCCCACAAAUUAGUCACACCAUUUCAGGCCUUUGAAAAAUGUACGCAACCACUUUCACUCAAGAAUUUAGAAGAUGCACCAUCGACGUAUAUUUAUUUGAAAGCACCGUUUGGG
Molecule: long non-coding RNA, 247 nt
Filed under: Dermacentor andersoni
Lineage: Eukaryota; Metazoa; Arthropoda; Arachnida; Ixodida; Ixodidae
Description: uncharacterized LOC126539276
Source: RNAcentral